AUUGAACGCUGGCGGCAGGCCUAACACAUGCAAGUCGAACGGUAACAGGAAGAAGCUUGCUUCUUUGCUGACGAGUGGCGGACGGGUUAGUAAUGUCUGGGAAACUGCCUGAUGGAUGGGGAUAACUACUGGAAACGGUAGCUAAUACCGCAUAACGUCGCAAGACCAAAGAGGGGGACCUUCGGGCCUCUUGCCUUCGGCUGUGCCCAGUUGGGAUUAGCUAGUAGGUGGGGUAACGGCUCACCUAGGCGACGAUCCCUAGCUGGUCUGAGAGGAUGAACAGCCACACUGGAACUGAGACACGGUCCAGACUCCUACGGGAGGCAGCAGUGGGGAAUAUUGCACAAUGGGCGCAAGCCUGAUGCAGCCAUGCCGCGUGUAUGAAGAAGGCCUUCGGGUUGUAAAGUACUUUCAGCGGGGAGGAAGGGAGUAAAGUUAAUACCUUUGCUCAUUGACGUUACCAGCAGAAGAAGCACCGGCUAACUCCGUG
RNAcentral lists this ribosomal RNA (490 nucleotides) under uncultured bacterium. Its description in RNAcentral is "partial 16S ribosomal RNA". It matches the Rfam family "Bacterial small subunit ribosomal RNA", at positions 30 to 507 of the family's 1533-position model. The record is from RNAcentral.